RNAcentral lists this ribosomal RNA (457 nucleotides) under uncultured organism. RNAcentral's name for it is "partial 16S ribosomal RNA". It matches the Rfam family "Bacterial small subunit ribosomal RNA", at positions 331 to 797 of the family's 1533-position model. The record is from RNAcentral.
GUACACUCCUACGGGAGGCAGCAGUGGGGAAUAUUGCACAAUGGGCGCAAGCCUGAUGCAGCGACGCCGCGUGGGGGAUGAAGGCCUUCGGGUUGUAAACUCCUUUCGCUAGGGACGAAGCUUUUUUGUGACGGUACCUAGAUAAGAAGCACCGGCUAACUACGUGCCAGCAGCCGCGGUAAUACGUAGGGUGCGAGCGUUGUCCGGAAUUACUGGGCGUAAAGGGCUCGUAGGUGGUUUGUCGCGUCGUCUGUGAAAUUCUGGGGCUUAACUCCGGGCGUGCAGGCGAUACGGGCAUAACUUGAGUGCUGUAGGGGUAACUGGAAUUCCUGGUGUAGCGGUGAAAUGCGCAGAUAUCAGGAGGAACACCGAUGGCGAAGGCAGGUUACUGGGCAGUUACUGACGCUGAGGAGCGAAAGCAUGGGUAGCGAACAGGAUUAGAUACCCGAGUAGUCCC